Molecule: ribosomal RNA, 459 nt
Filed under: uncultured bacterium
Lineage: Bacteria
Description: partial 16S ribosomal RNA
Rfam family: Bacterial small subunit ribosomal RNA
Source: RNAcentral
CCUACGGGUGGCAGCAGUGAGGAAUAUUGGUCAAUGGACGAGAGUCUGAACCAGCCAAGUAGCGUGAAGGAUGACUGCCCUAUGGGUUGUAAACUUCUUUUGUCGGGGAACAAAGGCGGAGACGCGUCUCCGGAUGAGUGUACCCGAAGAAAAAGCAUCGGCUAACUCCGUGCCAGCAGCCGCGGUAAUACGGAGGAUGCGAGCGUUAUCCGGAUUUAUUGGGUGUAAAGGGUGCGCAGGCGGGCGAUCAAGUCAGCGGUAAAAUGUCGGGGCUCAACCCCGGCCGACCGUUGAAACUGGUUUUCUAGAGUUGGAGAGAAGUAGGCGGAAUUCGUGGUGUAGCGGUGAAAUGCAUAGAUAUCACGAAGAACUCCGAUUGCGAAGGCAGCAUACCGGCUCCAUACUGACGCUGAGGCACGAAAGCGUGGGGAUCGAACAGGAUUAGAUACCCUAGUAGUC